AACAGUGGGGAACCCAGAAGACCCGGAAUCUGUUCCCCGGAGGGUUUCAGGUGACCACAGACACCCAGAAGGAGCCUGACCGGGCCUCUUGCACUGACUGAGACGACUCCUCAGGGCCCCACUCCUGGCAGCUGAGUGCUGCACCUGCCUUCUUGAUCACGAGCCUGAGAACUGCACGGGGGAGCAGCCCAGACUGGCUGGAAACCAUGUUUUCAGAGUGCAGGGUCAAGCGGCGUGUAGGACUCUGUCAAAAGAAUGACCCCUUUCCCCACCACAUACCCACAACUGCACAGGUUAAAACAGAAAUCUUGUCAUUUUAUAAUUGUAAUCCACGCCGGGUGCAGUGGCUCACACCUGUAAUCCCAGCA
This 368-nucleotide small RNA is filed under the name Pan troglodytes (chimpanzee). RNAcentral describes it as "retained intron". Lineage: Eukaryota; Metazoa; Chordata; Mammalia; Primates; Hominidae. The record is from RNAcentral.